GAUGAACGCUGGCGGCGUGCCUAAUACAUGCAAGUCGAGCGAACGGACGAGAAGCUUGCUUCUCUGAUGUUAGCGGCGGACGGGUGAGUAACACGUGGAUAACCUACCUAUAAGACUGGGAUAACUUCGGGAAACCGGAGCUAAUACCGGAUAAUAUUUUGAACCGCAUGGUUCAAAAGUGAAAGACGGUCUUGCUGUCACUUAUAGAUGGAUCCGCGCUGCAUUAGCUAGUUGGUAAGGUAACGGCUUACCAAGGCAACGAUGCAUAGCCGACCUGAGAGGGUGAUCGGCCACACUGGAACUGAGACACGGUCCAGACUCCUACGGGAGGCAGCAGUAGGGAAUCUUCCGCAAUGGGCGAAAGCCUGACGGAGCAACGCCGCGUGAGUGAUGAAGGUCUUCGGAUCGUAAAACUCUGUUAUUAGGGAAGAACAUAUGUGUAAGUAACUGUGCACAUCUUGACGGUACCUAAUCAGAAAGCCACGGCUAACUACGUGCCAGCAGCCGCGGUAAUACGUAGGUGGCAAGCGUUAUCCGGAAUUAUUAGGCGUAAAGCGCGCGUAGGCGGUUUUUUAAGUCUGAUGUGAAAGCCCACGGCUCAACCGUGGAGGGUCAUUGGAAACUGGAAAACUUGAGUGCAGAAGAGGAAAGUGGAAUUCCAUGUGUAGCGGUGAAAUGCGCAGAGAUAUGGAGGAACACCAGUGGCGAAGGCGACUUUCUGGUCUGUAACUGACGCUGAUGUGCGAAAGCGUGGGGAUCAAACAGGAUUAGAUACCCUGGUAGUCCACGCCGUAAACGAUGAGUGCUAAGUGUUAGGGGGUUUCCGCCCCUUAGUGCUGCAGCUAACGCAUUAAGCACUCCGCCUGGGGAGUACGACCGCAAGGUUGAAACUCAAAGGAAUUGACGGGGACCCGCACAAGCGGUGGAGCAUGUGGUUUAAUUCGAAGCAACGCGAAGAACCUUACCAAAUCUUGACAUCCUUUGACAACUCUAGAGAUAGAGCUUUCCCCUUCGGGGGACAAAGUGACAGGUGGUGCAUGGUUGUCGUCAGCUCGUGUCGUGAGAUGUUGGGUUAAGUCCCGCAACGAGCGCAACCCUUAAGCUUAGUUGCCAUCAUUAAGUUGGGCACUCUAAGUUGACUGCCGGUGACAAACCGGAGGAAGGUGGGGAUGACGUCAAAUCAUCAUGCCCCUUAUGAUUUGGGCUACACACGUGCUACAAUGGACAAUACAAAGGGCAGCGAAACCGCGAGGUCAAGCAAAUCCCAUAAAGUUGUUCUCAGUUCGGAUUGUAGUCUGCAACUCGACUACAUGAAGCUGGAAUCGCUAGUAAUCGUAGAUCAGCAUGCUACGGUGAAUACGUUCCCGGGUCU
RNAcentral lists this ribosomal RNA (1372 nucleotides) under uncultured bacterium. RNAcentral describes it as "bacterial SSU rRNA". It matches the Rfam family "Bacterial small subunit ribosomal RNA", at positions 28 to 1381 of the family's 1533-position model. The record is from RNAcentral.